Non-coding RNA from Phalacrocorax carbo (great cormorant), 1576 nucleotides. The record is from RefSeq and is a predicted model, not a curated record. NCBI's taxonomy places the organism in Eukaryota, Metazoa, Chordata, Aves, Suliformes, Phalacrocoracidae.
CCGACACCUCCCUCCUCAGGCCGUGUACCCGCCGGCCGCGCUGCGGGGUUUGCGGGUCCUUCGGGCAGCUGGUGCCGGCCCGGGGCGGCGGGGGCGCUGUCCCCGGAGCCGGUGGCUGCCGCGGCGGAGAGGGACCUUCAUUCCUGUGAGCUGCCCAAACAGAAGUGAUACUUUUGGAGGGAGUGUGGUGGAGCCGUGUCACGCUGGGUCUACAUUCAGCUGAAGCGAGUGGUGGGAGUGAUGAACCCCCUCCCUCCUACUGAUCUCGAGGGCAUGGUGACCACAGCCUGCUAAAGAUGCUCUUAUUGAUAUUAUCAAUUUCAUUGUGAUCGUUUCAACACUGGUUCUGGAAAUGAAACCUGCAUGGGUGCACAUUCAGAAUUAUUGAAAGGCAAAAGUCCUCCGGAUAGCAAGGAUCAGAAGAUCGAGAGAGAAGGACAGAGAUGGAGGAAGGGGAAAAAACUAAAAAUAAUACCGAUAUACUUGUUUUUUCCAAAGAAUGAUGCCUGGUGUAAUACAUAGCUGAAAAACAGGUAUUGGGGAAUGGAUUUUUGACGUGUGCCUCAGCUCUGAAACGUGGUAUCAUCCCCACUAAACUGGAUUUACCAGGACUGCUCCAGCUGCAUGAUGUGUUUGUCAGACUGGUGAGAAAAUCAGGGUUUGAUGCUACUUUGUCAGAUUUCAUACAGCCACUUGGGCAGCUGAAACCUGUUCUGUCGUACUGCACCUGCUGCAAUAAAGCUUCGUUCACUGGGCUUCAGUGUGCUCCUCAUGUGGCAUAAAAGGGGGCAUCAAGACCACGCAGCUGGCACUUCAAGCUGUGUUUGCCUUGGUGUGUGUUCCCAUAGUUGAUGCACUGACAAGACAUACCCCAGUCUUAUACAUAAAUACAUUUGUGUUGCUGGAUACCCAGAAAAAUGUUUGUUGCGGAUUGAAAUGUGUUUCCUUUAGUCUGACUAAAUGAUAAUGUCAAGUCCAAGGGGUAUCAUGUACCCAGGUUUUCCUGAACACAUUCUCUUUUCUUGCUGGAGAUUAUUUCUGCAUGCAGUAUGAGAAUUCUUUACAGUUGUCCAGGAUUUCUCUGUGUCUGGUAAUGCUGUCGAGGCCCACAGAGCACAGACUUUGGCUGCAUACCGUGUAUUCAGUGAAUAUGAUACUUUCAGAAAAUGCCAGACUUGCUGUGUGUUUGUGAUAAAGUCUCUGUAGCUGCACAGUGGGUCUGGCGAUCCUCGAGGGUUUGGGAUGAACCUUCUUUGAAUGUACAACUCUGCAGCUCUUGCUGUCUGUUCUUUCUCAGAAGUGUGGGACAAAUAAUCUGUGCACAUGUGCUUCUAUGAGUGGAUUCCUAAGAAUGCGAUAGCCUUAAUCCCCUAGCUGUCUGCUGACUACCUGUCUGUGCUGGAUUUGAGAGGACCUGGGAUUUCCAUGCACUGUUUUCUAGCACUCAGACUGACAACAGCAAUGUGCUGCAUAGAUUUCAGUGAGGUCUUGACUCCUCAUCAUUCCGAGGGAACAGAAAACUCAUUUGAGUAUGAGAAUUGAUGACUGCAUGUGUCUAGCUAGAAUAAAAUAUUCA